GGGGGAUUAGCUCAGAUGGAAGAGCGCCGCGCUGGCAGCGCGGAAGUCAGGGGUUCAAGUCCCCUAUUCUCCACCA
Molecule: transfer RNA, 76 nt
Filed under: Christensenellaceae bacterium
Lineage: Bacteria; Bacillati; Bacillota; Clostridia; Christensenellales; Christensenellaceae
Description: tRNA-Ala
Rfam family: tRNA
About the family: Transfer RNA (tRNA) molecules are approximately 80 nucleotides in length. Their secondary structure includes four short double-helical elements and three loops (D, anti-codon, and T loops).
Source: RNAcentral